GGAUGAAUAUUGGUCAAUGGGCGGGAGCCUGAACCAGCCAAGUCGCGUGAGGGAGGAAGGUCCUACGGAUUGUAAACCUCUUUAGCCGGGGAGCAACGUGCGCCACGUGUGGCGCAGUGAGAGUACCCGGAGAAUAAGCAUCGGCUAACUCCGUGCCAGCAGCCGCGGUAAUACGGAGGAUGCGAGCGUUAUCCGGAUUUAUUGGGUUUAAAGGGUGCGCAGGCGGCGCGAAAAGUCAGCGGUCAAAGUUCCGGGCUCAACCCGGUGACGCCGUUGAAACUUUCGGGCUGGAGUUCGUGCGAGGGAGGCGGAAUGCGUUGUGUAGCGGUGAAAUGCAUAGAUAUGACGCAG
Molecule: ribosomal RNA, 351 nt
Filed under: uncultured Porphyromonadaceae bacterium
Lineage: Bacteria; Pseudomonadati; Bacteroidota; Bacteroidia; Bacteroidales; Porphyromonadaceae
Description: bacterial SSU rRNA
Rfam family: Bacterial small subunit ribosomal RNA
Source: RNAcentral